RNAcentral lists this ribosomal RNA (598 nucleotides) under uncultured bacterium. RNAcentral describes it as "bacterial SSU rRNA". The stretch from base 1 to 521 matches the Rfam family "Bacterial small subunit ribosomal RNA", at positions 338 to 873 of the family's 1533-position model. The record is from RNAcentral.
CCUACGGGAGGCAGCAGUGGGGAAUUUUCCGCAAUGGGCGAAAGCCUGACGGAGCAAUACCGCGUGAGGGAGGAAGGCUCUUGGGUCGUAAACCUCUUUUCUCAGGGAAGAAAAAAUGACGGUACCUGAGGAAUAAGCAUCGGCUAACUCCGUGCCAGCAGCCGCGGUAAUACGGAGGAUGCAAGCGUUAUCCGGAAUGAUUGGGCGUAAAGCGUCCGCAGGUGGCGAUGAAAGUCUGCUGUUAAAGAGUCUAGCUCAACUAGAUAAGAGCAGUGGAAACUACAUAGCUAGAGUACGUUCGGGGCAGAGGGAAUUCCUGGUGUAGCGGUGAAAUGCGUAGAGAUCAGGAAGAACACCGGUGGCGAAGGCGCUCUGCUAGGCCGUAACUGACACUGAGGGACGAAAGCUAGGGGAGCGAAUGGGAUUAGAUACCCCAGUAGUCCUAGCCGUAAACGAUGGAUACUAGGCGUGGCUUGUAUCGACCCGAGCCGUGCCGUAGCUAACGCGUUAAGUAUCCCGCNGGNGUACGCCGCGACGAGAACGUACGAAGAAGUAGUAACGGCGUGAGAGUGCCGACGGACGACGACGAGGGAGGAGG